CCUACGGGUGGCAGCAGUGGGGAAUAUUGGACAAUGGGGGCAACCCUGAUCCAGCAAUUCUGUGUGCACGAAGAAGGUUUUCGGAUUGUAAAGUGCUUUCAGCAAGGAAGAAGAAAGUGACGGUACCUGCAGAAGAAGCGACGGCUAAAUACGUGCCAGCAGCCGCGGUAAUACGUAUGUCGCAAGCGUUAUCCGGAAUUAUUGGGCAUAAAGGGCAUCUAGGCGGCCAGACAAGUCUGGGGUGAAAACUUGCGGCUCAACCGCAAGCCUGCCCUGGAAACUGUCUGGCUAGAGUGCUGGAGAGGUGGACGGAACUGCACGAGUAGAGGUGAAAUUCGUAGAUAUGUGCAGGAAUGCCGAUGAUGAAGAUAGUUCACUGGACGGCAACUGACGCUGAAGUGCGAAAGCUAGGGGAGCGAACAGGAUUAGAUACCCCUGUAGUC
Molecule: ribosomal RNA, 443 nt
Filed under: uncultured Leptotrichia sp.
Lineage: Bacteria; Fusobacteriati; Fusobacteriota; Fusobacteriia; Fusobacteriales; Leptotrichiaceae
Description: bacterial SSU rRNA
Rfam family: Bacterial small subunit ribosomal RNA
Source: RNAcentral